Molecule: transfer RNA, 72 nt
Filed under: marine sediment metagenome
Description: tRNA-Trp
Rfam family: tRNA
About the family: Transfer RNA (tRNA) molecules are approximately 80 nucleotides in length. Their secondary structure includes four short double-helical elements and three loops (D, anti-codon, and T loops).
Source: RNAcentral
GGGCUGUUGGUGCAACGGCUAGCAUGUGAAGCUCCAACCUUCAAGAUGUGGGUUCGAAUCCUACACGGCCCG